AUUCCAGCUCCAAUAGCGUAUAUUAAAGUUGUUGCGAUUAAAAAGCUCGUAGUUGGAUCUCAGGCAUGGGCGCACGGUCCGCCUCGCGGCGGUCACUGUGUGAAUUGUUUUCCCAUCCUACGCUUCCCGGUUGUUCAGCCCAUGGUGCUCUUCAUUGAGCGUUUUGGGUGGCCGGAACGUUUACUUUGAAGAAAUUAGAGUGUUCAAAGCAGGCACAUCGCCUGAAUAAUGGUGCAUGGAAUGAUGGAAUAGGACCUCGGUUCUAUUUUGCUGGUUUUCGGAACACGAGGUAAUGAUUAAGAGGGACAGACGGGGGCAUCCGUAUUGCGGUGUUAGAGGUAAAAUUCUUGGAUCAUCGCAAGACGAACAACUGCGAAAGCAUUUGCCAAGCAUGUUUUCAUUA
RNAcentral lists this ribosomal RNA (403 nucleotides) under Lacuna sp. RNAcentral's name for it is "partial small subunit ribosomal RNA". It matches the Rfam family "Eukaryotic small subunit ribosomal RNA", at positions 582 to 975 of the family's 1831-position model. The record is from RNAcentral. Lineage: Eukaryota; Metazoa; Mollusca; Gastropoda; Littorinimorpha; Lacunidae.